RNAcentral lists this unclassified non-coding RNA (219 nucleotides) under Hevea brasiliensis (rubber tree). Lineage: Eukaryota; Viridiplantae; Streptophyta; Magnoliopsida; Malpighiales; Euphorbiaceae. The record is from RNAcentral.
AAAUGCAGUCCUCCGGAUGGUUUGUCUCAAACUUUCAACCUUCCGAGCAUGGGGCCUUAGAGGAAUCUUAAGUGUAGCAUCCUCCUCAGUCACAGGGGUACUGCUGCCACGACCAUAAAUUGGAGUCACGUUCUUCGUAGUAACCUCUCCUUUACAUACAGGACAUUCCUUGGCUUCUGAAUGUAGAUGUAACCAUCGAUAAAGGCACGGCCAGCAGUA